Molecule: small nucleolar RNA, 96 nt
Filed under: Bactrocera tryoni
Lineage: Eukaryota; Metazoa; Arthropoda; Insecta; Diptera; Tephritidae
Also listed under: 1 other name
Description: small nucleolar RNA psi18S-1377
Rfam family: Small nucleolar RNA psi18S-1377
About the family: psi18S-1377 is a member of the H/ACA class of snoRNA.
Source: RNAcentral
ACGUUCUUGUGUUAUUUGUUGAUCGCUGCUUAAGGUCAAUAAUUGUCGAAAAGAACGAAAAUUAAUAUGUGUAACUUUUGUUUAUAUGCCUUAAUU